GUAAAGACAAUGAUUGGAAAGAGUAGAUGGGUAAGCUUUACAGAGAGCAGGUGGCGGUGGAAUACCUGUAAGUCUAACCAUUGAAAAUCAUCCAUGAGUCGUGUCCUGAAGUUGUAUAAUGUGUAAGGACUACCGGUGUUGACCGUUAAAACAUAUCGAGUGAUUGUAGAAAGCUUGCUUUCUGCAUUAAUUUGGGUGGUACCGCGUGAGAAUAUAUUCCUCUCGUCCCUUUU
Molecule: non-coding RNA, 233 nt
Filed under: Acetivibrio clariflavus
Lineage: Bacteria; Bacillati; Bacillota; Clostridia; Acetivibrionales; Acetivibrionaceae
Description: Clostridium clariflavum T-box sequence
Rfam family: T-box leader
About the family: Uncharged tRNA acts as the effector for transcription antitermination of genes in the T-box leader family. T-boxes are found upstream of many aminoacyl-tRNA synthetase genes and some amino acid biosynthetic genes usually in Gram-positive bacteria.
Source: RNAcentral